UUGAAAUGUCAGUUCUCGUGCGAUUACCGAAGUUAAGCAACGUCUAGCCCGGCCAGUACCAAGAUGGGUGACCGCUUGAGAAUACUAGUUGCUGUCA
Non-coding RNA from Acanthosepion pharaonis, 97 nucleotides. The record is from the annotation of a GenBank genome assembly. NCBI's taxonomy places the organism in Eukaryota, Metazoa, Mollusca, Cephalopoda, Sepiida, Sepiidae.